RNAcentral lists this ribosomal RNA (898 nucleotides) under Alternaria sp. 'sect. Ulocladioides'. RNAcentral's name for it is "partial large subunit ribosomal RNA". It matches the Rfam family "Eukaryotic large subunit ribosomal RNA", at positions 34 to 952 of the family's 3401-position model. Lineage: Eukaryota; Fungi; Ascomycota; Dothideomycetes; Pleosporales; Pleosporaceae. The record is from RNAcentral.
CUAGCAUAUCAAUAAGCGGAGGAAAAGAAACCAACAGGGAUUGCCCUAGUAACGGCGAGUGAAGCGGCAACAGCUCAAAUUUGAAAUCUGGCUCUUUUAGAGUCCGAGUUGUAAUUUGCAGAGGGCGCUUUGGCUUUGGCAGCGGUCCAAGUUCCUUGGAACAGGACGUCACAGAGGGUGAGAAUCCCGUACGUGGUCGCUGGCUAUUGCCGUGUAAAGCCCCUUCGACGAGUCGAGUUGUUUGGGAAUGCAGCUCUAAAUGGGAGGUACAUUUCUUCUAAAGCUAAAUAUUGGCCAGAGACCGAUAGCGCACAAGUAGAGUGAUCGAAAGAUGAAAAGCACUUUGGAAAGAGAGUCAAACAGCACGUGAAAUUGUUAAAAGGGAAGCGCUUGCAGCCAGACUUGCUUGCAGUUGCUCAUCCGGGCUUUUGCCCGGUGCACUCUUCUGUAGGCAGGCCAGCAUCAGUUUGGGCGGUAGGAUAAAGGUCUCUGUCACGUACCUCCUUUCGGGGAGGCCUUAUAGGGGAGACGACAUACUACCAGCCUGGACUGAGGUCCGCGCAUCUGCUAGGAUGCUGGCGUAAUGGCUGUAAGCGGCCCGUCUUGAAACACGGACCAAGGAGUCUAACAUCUAUGCGAGUGUUUGGGUGUCAAGCCCGAGCGCGUAAUGAAAGUGAACGGAGGUGGGAACCCGCAAGGGUGCACCAUCGACCGAUCCUGAUGUCUUCGGAAGGAUUUGAGUAAGAGCAUGGCUGUUGGGACCCGAAAGAUGGUGAACUAUGCUUGAAUAGGGUGAAGCCAGAGGAAACUCUGGUGGAGGCUCGCAGCGGUUCUGACGUGCAAAUCGAUCGUCAAAUUUGGGCAUAGGGCGAAAGACUAAUCGAUCUAUCUGUUGCAC